UACGUAGGGUGCAAGCGUUGUCCGGAAUUAUUGGGCGUAAAGAGCUCGUAGGCGGUCUGUCGCGUCGGCUGUGAAAACUCGGGGCUCAACCCCGAGCCUGCAGUCGAUACGGGCAGACUAGAGUGCUGUAGGGGAGACUGGAAUUCCUGGUGUAGCGGUGAAAUGCGCAGAUAUCAGGAGGAACACCGGUGGCGAAGGCGGUUCUCUGGGCAUGACCUGACGCUGAGGAGCGAAAGUGUGGGGAGCGAACAGG
Molecule: ribosomal RNA, 253 nt
Filed under: uncultured bacterium
Lineage: Bacteria
Description: partial 16S ribosomal RNA
Rfam family: Bacterial small subunit ribosomal RNA
Source: RNAcentral